AGCGAGGCUAGAGUCACGCCUGGACAUUGCUCGUUGUCUUGGUGUGCUAGAGUGCUCGUAGAUUAAAGCUCUUCGUUUAUUCAUUGGCUGCAGUCUGCUGUGACCCAGUCAACCACCAGCUCAGAUACAACC
Molecule: small nucleolar RNA, 132 nt
Organism: Nematolebias whitei (Rio pearlfish)
Lineage: Eukaryota; Metazoa; Chordata; Actinopteri; Cyprinodontiformes; Rivulidae
Product: small nucleolar RNA SNORA3/SNORA45 family
Exons: 1
Source: RefSeq, a predicted model, not a curated record